Molecule: RNA transcript, 1403 nt
Organism: Sapajus apella (tufted capuchin)
Lineage: Eukaryota; Metazoa; Chordata; Mammalia; Primates; Cebidae
Gene name: tubulin beta chain-like
Exons: 1
Source: RefSeq, a predicted model, not a curated record
CUCUGCGCAGCCGAGCCUGCCAGUCCAGGCAGCACACUGCUCCGAGGGCCAGUGCCACCCGCCCUGCAGCCAGCACCGUGUGAGAGAUCGUGCACAUCCAGGCGGGCACAAACAGAUCGGUGCCAAGUUUUGGGAGGUCAUCAGCAAUGAGCAUGGGAUCCACCCCACAGGCAGUUACCAUGCAGACAGUGACUUGCAGCUGGAGAGAAUCAACAUGCACUACAAUGAGUCUGCUGGUAACAAAUAUGUACCUUGGGUCAUCCUGGUGGAUCUGGAGCCUGGCACCAUGGACUCCAUCAGGUCUGGACCCUUUGGCCAGAUCUUCAGGCCAGACAACUUCGUGUUCGGCCAGGGAAAAGCUGGGAAUAACUGGGCCAAGGGCCACUACACAGAGGGAGCUGAGCUGGUCGACUCAGUCCUGGACGUAGAGAGGAAGGAGUCAGAGAGCUGUGAUUGUCUCCAGGGCUUCCAGCUGACCCACUCUCUGUGGGGCAGCACAGGGUCUGGGAUGGGCACUCUGCUCAUCAAUCAGCAAGAUCCAGGAGGAGUACCCAGACCACAUCAUGGACACCUUCAGGGUCAUGCCCCAACCCAAGGUGUCAGGCACGGUGGUGGAGCCCUACAACGCCACCCUCUCCAUCCACCAGCUGGUGGAAAACACAGAUGAAACCUACCCCAUUGAUAAUGAGGCCCUGUAGGACAUCUGCUUGCGCACCCUGAAGCUGACCACCUCCACCUACAGGGACCUCAACCACCUGGUGUUGGCCACUAUGAGUGGGGUCACCACCUGCCUGUGCUUCCCAGGCCAGCUGAACGCAGACCUGCGCAAGCUGGCAUGAGCACGGUGCCCUUCCCGCACCUGCACUUCAUGCCAGCUCAGCACCCCUGACCAGCCGGGGCAGCCAGCAGUACCGCACGCUCACAGUGCCUGAGCUCACCCAGCAGAUGUUCGACUCCAAGAACAUGAUGGCCACCUGCGACCCAGGCCAUGGCCGCUACCUGACGGUAGCUGCCAUCUUCCGGGCCACAUGUCCAUGAAGGAGGUGGAUGAGCAAAUGCUCAACGUGCAGAACAAGAACAGCAGCCACUUCGUGGAGUGGAUCCCCAACAACGUGAAGACAGCUGUGUGUGACAUUCCGCCCCACAGCCCGAAGAUGUCAGCCACCUUCAUCUGCAACAGCACGGCCAUCCAGGAGCUGCUCAAGUGCACCUCAGAGCAGUUCACAGCCAUGUUCCGGUGCAAGGCCUUCCUGUCCUGGUUCACCGGCCAGGACAUGGACGAGAUGGAGUUCACCGAGGCCGAGAGCAACACGAAAGACCUGGUGUCUGAGUACCAGCAGGAUGCCACAACCAACAAACAAGGGGAGUUCCAGGAGGAGGAGGAGGGCGAGGACGAGGCUUAA